GAUGAACGCUAGCGGGAGGCCUAACACAUGCAAGCCGAGCGGUAUUGUUUCUUCGGAAAUGAGAGAGCGGCGUACGGGUGCGGAACACGUGUGCAACCUGCCUUUAUCUGGGGGAUAGCCUUUCGAAAGGAAGAUUAAUACUCCAUAAUAUAUUUAACGGCAUCGUUUAAUAUUGAAAGCUCCGGCGGAUAGAGAUGGGCACGCGCAAGAUUAGCUAGUUGGUGAGGUAACGGCUCACCAAGGCGAUGAUCUUUAGGGGGCCUGAGAGGGUGAUCCCCCACACUGAGACUGAGACACGGACCAGACGCCUACGGGAGGCAGCAGUGAGGAAUAUUGGUCAAUGGGUGCAAGCCUGAACCCGCCAUCCCGCGUGAAGGACGACUGCCCUAUGGGUUGUAAACUUCUUUUGUAUAGGGAUAAACCUACCCUCGUGAGGGUAGCUGAAGGUACUAUACGAAUAAGCACCGGCUAACUCCGUGCCAGCCGCCGCCGUA
Molecule: ribosomal RNA, 494 nt
Filed under: uncultured bacterium
Lineage: Bacteria
Description: partial 16S ribosomal RNA
Rfam family: Bacterial small subunit ribosomal RNA
Source: RNAcentral